This 640-nucleotide long non-coding RNA is filed under the name Apteryx rowi (Okarito brown kiwi). RNAcentral describes it as "lncRNA (ENSARWG00000012442.1)". Lineage: Eukaryota; Metazoa; Chordata; Aves; Apterygiformes; Apterygidae. The record is from RNAcentral.
CAGAAAUCGCAGCAGCUUUCCAUUUCUUCAGCUUCUGACGGCCAAGUCCUUGCAAUCCCAGCGAGGAAUCGUUUUGAGAAAGCACAUGCUGCAAUUAAGGCACUGCCCAAAAGCACACUCGGCCAGCAAAGCCAGUAUUUAUCAAUACAAUUUUAAGUGUCUUGCAGACCAUUUGGCCUCUCCUGCUGAUGAGGAAAGCCACUGGACACAGUAAAUCUUUGGUGUCUUACCUGCACUGUCUGAACCGUAACAGCUUACAGGAGCCCUGCUUUCACGUUUGCUCUGAGGUCCCAGGUUGAAAGAGACGGUGUUAUCCAUUCUCCCGAUCUCCUCCUGGGAGGGACUGAGGCGAGGGCUAGGACCCCCUUGGCAUGCCAGGAGGAGCUCUGGCCUCCCCAUGAUUUCUGCUCCAGCUCAAGGCUGCCUGCGGGACAUGCCCAGUGGUUGCCAGAGCUGCUGUUGGUGGUGUUACAAGAUGGGGGUUGAAGGAGAUCGCCGUCACGCAGGAGGCAAUUCUCCCUGCUGUAGAGACGCCUGCCCGGGAGCUGCGGUGCUCUACAUCACGGUGGGAACAGACUCUUUGGGCCCUCGAUUAUCCCGUAUGAUGUGGCUGCCAACAGGACCAUCGCCUCUUUCUUAG